CCUCAGCAUUAAGAGAGGGCUGACGCCCCGCCAACCUGCAGCUGUGCAAGGUGGUCUCCCGCCAGGGAAAUGUGGCCUUCAAGGCAACAACAGCGUCGGCCUC
RNAcentral lists this non-coding RNA (103 nucleotides) under unclassified sequences. RNAcentral describes it as "SAM-I-IV sequence". It matches the Rfam family "SAM-I/IV (S-adenosyl methionine) riboswitch aptamer". Rfam says of the family: It is found upstream of a number of genes which code for proteins involved in methionine or cysteine biosynthesis. It has been found mostly in the order Actinomycetales. The record is from Rfam by way of RNAcentral.